UUAAGCAUAUCAAUAAGCGGAGGAAAAGAAACCAACAGGGAUUACCUCAGUAACGGCGAGUGAAGCGGUAACAGCUCAAAUUUGAAAUCUGGCUCUUUCAGGGUCCGAGUUGUAAUUUGUAGACGAUGCUUUGGGUGUGGUGCCGGUCUAAGUUCCUUGGAACAGGACGUCAUAGAGGGUGAGAAUCCCGUAUGUGAUCGGUCGCCUUCGCCCGUGUAAAGCUCGUUCGACGAGUCGAGUUGUUUGGGAAUGCAGCUCAAAAUGGGUGGUAAAUUUCAUCUAAAGCUAAAUAUUGGCCAGAGACCGAUAGCGCACAAGUAGAGUGAUCGAAAGAUGAAAAGCACUUUGGAAAGAGAGUUAAACAGUACGUGAAAUUGUUGAAAGGGAAGCGCUUGCAACCAGACUUGGGCUGUCGCAAUCAUCCGGGGCUCGCCCCGGUGCACUUGUGGCGGCACAGGCCAGCAUCAGUUUCGGUGGUGGGAUAAAGGCCUUGGGAAUGUAGCUUCUUUCGGGGAGUGUUAUAGCCCUCGGUGCAAUGCCGCCUACCGGGACUGAGGACCGCGCUUCGGCUAGGAUGCUGGCGUAAUGGUUGUAAGCGACCCGUCUUGAAACACGGACCAAGGAGUCUAACAUCUAUGCGAGUGUUUGGGUGUCAAACCCAUACGCGUAAUGAAAGUGAACGGAGGUGAGAACCCGUUAGGGUGCAUCAUCGACCGAUCCUGAUGUCUUCGGAUGGAUUUGAGUAAGAGCAUAGCUGUUGGGACCCGAAAGAUGGUGAACUAUGCCUAAAUAGGGUGAAGCCAGAGGAAACUCUGGUGGAGGCUCGCAGCGGUUCUGACGUGCAAAUCGAUCGUCAAAUUUGGGUAUAGGGGCGAAAGACUAAUCGAACCAUCUAGUAGCUGGUUCCUGCCGAA
RNAcentral lists this ribosomal RNA (914 nucleotides) under Spirosphaera floriformis. Its description in RNAcentral is "LSU rRNA". It matches the Rfam family "Eukaryotic large subunit ribosomal RNA", at positions 34 to 965 of the family's 3401-position model. The record is from RNAcentral. Lineage: Eukaryota; Fungi; Ascomycota; Leotiomycetes; Helotiales.